Molecule: ribosomal RNA, 313 nt
Filed under: uncultured Glomus
Lineage: Eukaryota; Fungi; Glomeromycota; Glomeromycetes; Glomerales; Glomeraceae
Description: SSU rRNA
Rfam family: Eukaryotic small subunit ribosomal RNA
Source: RNAcentral
AGCAGCCGCGGUAAUUCCAGCUCCAAUAGCGUAUAUUAAAGUUGUUGCAGUUAAAAAGCUCGUAGUUGAAUUUCGGGGUCAGCAGGUUGGUCGUGCCACCGGUAUGAACUGGCCUUGCUGAUUCCUCCUUCUUGAAGAACCGUGAUGCCAUUAAUUUGGUGUUGCGGGGAAACAGGACUGUUACUUUGAAAAAAUUAGAGUGUUUAAAGCAGGCUAACGCUUGAAUACAUUAGCAUGGAAUAAUAAAAUAGGACGUUUGAUCCUAUUUUGUUGGUUUCUAGGGUUGACGUAAUGAUUAAUAGGGAUAGUUGGG